AUUAGAUACCCGUGUAGUCCUAGCCGUAAACGAUACUCGCUAGGUGUCGGCCACGGUGCGACCGUUGUCGGUGCCGUAGGGAAGCCGUGAAGCGAGCCACCUGGGAAGUACGGCCGCAAGGCUGAAACUUAAAGGAAUUGGCGGGGGAGCACAACAACGGGUGGAGCUUGCGGUUUAAUUGGAUUCAACGCCGGAAAUCUUACCGGGACCGACAGCAACAUGAAGGCCAAGCUGAAGACUUUGCCGGAUUAGCUG
Molecule: ribosomal RNA, 255 nt
Filed under: uncultured archaeon
Lineage: Archaea
Description: partial 16S ribosomal RNA
Rfam family: Archaeal small subunit ribosomal RNA
Source: RNAcentral